AGGGAAUCUUCGGCAAUGGGGGCAACCCUGACCGAGCAACGCCGCGUGAGUGAAGAAGGUUUUCGGAUCGUAAAGCUCUGUUGUAAGAGAAGAACGUGUGUGAGAGUGGAAAGUUCACACAGUGACGGUAACUUACCAGAAAGGGACGGCUAACUACGUGCCAGCAGCCGCGGUAAUACGUAGGUCCCGAGCGUUGUCCGGAUUUAUUGGGCGUAAAGCGAGCGCAGGCGGUUUAAUAAGUCUGAAGUUAAAGGCAGUGGCUUAACCAUUGUUCGCUUUGGAAACUGUUAGACUUGAGUGCAGAAGGGGAGAGUGGAAUUCCAUGUGUAGCGGUGAAAUGCGUAGAUAUAUGGAGGAACACCGGUGGCGAAAGCGGCUCUCUGGUCUGUAACUGACGCUGAGGCUCGAAAGCGUGGGGAGCAAAC
Molecule: ribosomal RNA, 425 nt
Filed under: uncultured bacterium
Lineage: Bacteria
Description: bacterial SSU rRNA
Rfam family: Bacterial small subunit ribosomal RNA
Source: RNAcentral